Molecule: long non-coding RNA, 756 nt
Organism: Priapulus caudatus
Lineage: Eukaryota; Metazoa; Priapulida; Priapulimorpha; Priapulimorphida; Priapulidae
Exons: 2
Source: RefSeq, a predicted model, not a curated record
AUAAUAUGUAGCGUAAGAGUAUAAUAAUAGUAGUAAUAAUAGAACUGCAAUAACGAUCAACAGAACAGGCGCGGAUAAGGGAAUGUGUUAUUACAUUCGAAGAAACUAUAUAUAUAUAUAUAUAUAUUCUUAUGGAUAACCUCUAUUACUUCAAUAAACUCGUGAAUUUCAACUGUAAUAUUUGUAAUGAUGCAUCGGUGCAGAAUGUAACGUACUGGUAUCUGUCUGUGUGUCAAACGAUACUAUAAACUCGACUGAGUAGUUGUUCCUUCAUUUGUGUAUUUUUUUCUGGUGCGAAAUAUUAAUUUUGUUUGGAAAUGAAAUAUACACCGUGUUCCUAUUGUACCAUUAUGAAGCAUUGUGAGUUAUACUGUUACCAUACUCCACACCUAUCCGAUAGACAUCAGUGUUAUGGUGACGGAGUCUAGGGUUACAUAUAUUGACGUAAAACACGUCACUGACGUGUAUCACUUGCUCUUUCGUACUAAAUCCAAUGCAGCCUUUUGUCGCGAUGUGAAGCAGCAACCACUAGGAAAACCUUAUUAUUCACCGCUUUCAAUUAUGUGUGCUCGUCCGGGCUUUAUGUCGAUAUGAAAAUUAAGAUAGUUUGUCGUUAUCGAGUGUGGUUAUUUUGUUUCAACCCAUCAGCAGUUCAUAUAACAUCGUGAUUGCACCCUGGAGUUUCCUAUUGUAGAUUUAUUACCAGGUAGAUGUUUUAACGUACAUUAUUUUUAAUAAAUAUGUAAAAAAUAGCUA